This is a non-coding RNA of Leptonychotes weddellii (Weddell seal), 659 nucleotides long. NCBI's taxonomy places the organism in Eukaryota, Metazoa, Chordata, Mammalia, Carnivora, Phocidae. The record is from RefSeq and is a predicted model, not a curated record.
AAUCACACCUGUGUAACGAAGCCUCCAUAAAACCCCUAAAGGACAGGGUUUGGAGAGCUUCCAUGUUGGUGAGCUCCUGGAGAUUCAGGGAGAGAGGUAAGGGAAGCCCUGUGCUCUUCCCGGUCGCUGGCCCUGUGCGUCUCUUCAUCAGGCUGCUCCUGAGUUGUGUCCUUCUAGGAUAAACUGGUGACCUAGCAUGUCAUGUUACCCAGAGAACUUUCCAAACAAGUCCCGAAAACCCAUCUGAUGUCUGAAGAGGAGUGGAGGAGACUUGGUGUCCAACAGAGUCUAGGCUGGGUUCAUUACAUGAUUCAUGAGCCAGAACCACAUAUUCUUCUCUUUAGACGACCUCUUCCAAAAGAGCAACAAAAAUGAAGUCUAUCUGGGGAUCGUCAAUUAAAUCUUUUUCACAUUUAAUGUAUAUGUGUAUAUAAGGUAGUAUUCAGUGAAUACUUGAAGAAUGUACAGACUGUUGAUCCGUACCUGUGCAUGAGCUGUAUUCUUCACAGCAACAGAGCUCAGUCAAAUGCAACUGCAAAUAGGUUACUAUAAGGUGUUUAAGAUAAAAUUUCUUCUAGUCGGUUUUUCUCUUAAUAUAAGUGCCUGUUUGACUUUACCUGUUACUUUUGUUAAAUAAAGUUUGUAUGUUGCAUUUAUUA